Styela clava is the source of this 66-nucleotide non-coding RNA. The record is from the annotation of a RefSeq genome assembly. NCBI's taxonomy places the organism in Eukaryota, Metazoa, Chordata, Ascidiacea, Stolidobranchia, Styelidae.
UAUGAAAUGCCAGAUGUAAUGGGUUAUUUUGAUAAGGUAAUUAUGAAAUCUUGAUUUCUUUCAUAU